RNAcentral lists this transfer RNA (73 nucleotides) under Lachnospiraceae bacterium. Its description in RNAcentral is "tRNA-Thr(ggt)". It matches the Rfam family "tRNA". From Rfam's summary of the family: Transfer RNA (tRNA) molecules are approximately 80 nucleotides in length. Their secondary structure includes four short double-helical elements and three loops (D, anti-codon, and T loops). Lineage: Bacteria; Bacillati; Bacillota; Clostridia; Lachnospirales; Lachnospiraceae. The record is from RNAcentral.
GCUGCUAUAGCACAGUCGGUAGUGCGUCGCAUUGGUAGUGCGAAGGUCACCGGUCCGAAUCCGGUUAGCAGCU